GCUGCCAUCGUCUAGCGGCCAGGAUGACCGCCUCUCGAGCGGUCGACACGGGUUCGAGUCCCGUUGGCAGCGCCA
RNAcentral lists this transfer RNA (75 nucleotides) under Bradyrhizobium sp. 41S5. RNAcentral's name for it is "tRNA-Glu". It matches the Rfam family "tRNA". Rfam says of the family: Transfer RNA (tRNA) molecules are approximately 80 nucleotides in length. Their secondary structure includes four short double-helical elements and three loops (D, anti-codon, and T loops). Further hydrogen bonds mediate the characteristic L-shaped molecular structure. tRNAs have two regions of fundamental functional importance: the anti-codon, which is responsible for specific mRNA codon recognition, and the 3' end, to which the tRNAs corresponding amino acid is attached (by aminoacyl-tRNA synthetases). tRNAs cope with the degeneracy of the genetic code in two manners: having more than one tRNA (with a specific anti-codon) for a particular amino acid; and 'wobble' base-pairing, i.e. permitting non-standard base-pairing at the 3rd anti-codon position. The record is from RNAcentral. Lineage: Bacteria; Pseudomonadati; Pseudomonadota; Alphaproteobacteria; Hyphomicrobiales; Nitrobacteraceae.